UUAUGAUUAGUGGCGCACGGGUGAGUAAUAUAUAGGUAACGUGCCCUAGAGAAGAGGAUAACAGUUGGAAACGAUUGCUAAGACUCUAUAUGCCUUUAUCCCAUAAGGGAGCAAGGGAAAUAUUUAUAGCUCUAGGAUCGGCCUGUACGGUAUCAGUUAGUUGGUGAGGUAAUGGCUCACCAAGACUAUGACACCUAACUGGUUUGAGAGGAUGAUCAGUCACACUGGAACUGAGACACGGUCCAGACUCC
RNAcentral lists this ribosomal RNA (251 nucleotides) under uncultured bacterium. Its description in RNAcentral is "partial 16S ribosomal RNA". It matches the Rfam family "Bacterial small subunit ribosomal RNA", at positions 86 to 339 of the family's 1533-position model. The record is from RNAcentral.